This is a non-coding RNA of Triticum aestivum (bread wheat), 135 nucleotides long. The record is from Rfam. NCBI's taxonomy places the organism in Eukaryota, Viridiplantae, Streptophyta, Magnoliopsida, Poales, Poaceae.
UUUGUACUCCCUCCGUCCCAAAAUUCUUGUCUUAAAUUUUCCUAAGUACGGAUGUAUAUAGUUACAUUUUAGUGUUAGAUACAUCUGUAUCUAAACAAAUGUAAGACAAGAAUUUUGGGACGGAGGGAGUACUAC